RNAcentral lists this ribosomal RNA (504 nucleotides) under uncultured bacterium. RNAcentral describes it as "bacterial SSU rRNA". It matches the Rfam family "Bacterial small subunit ribosomal RNA", at positions 791 to 1300 of the family's 1533-position model. The record is from RNAcentral.
UAGUCCAUGCCGUAAACGAUGAUUACUAGCUAUUAGCGAUACAAUGUUAGUGGCACAGCGAAAGCGUUAAGUAAUCCACCUGGGAAGUACGGUCGCAAGAUUGAAACUCAAAGGAAUUGACGGGGGCCCGCACAAGCGGUGGAGCAUGUGGUUUAAUUCGAUGAUACGCGAGGAACCUUACCAGGGCUUAAAUGCAGAUUGACAGGACAGGAAACUGUUUUUUCUUCGGACAAUUUGCAAGGUGCUGCAUGGUUGUCGUCAGCUCGUGCUGUGAAGUGUCGGGUUAAGUCCCAUAACGAGCGCAACCCCUAUCUUUAGUUGCUAGCAGGUAAUGCUGAGGACUCUAGAGAAACUGCCCGUGCAAGCGGUGAGGAAGGUGGGGAUGACGUCAAAUCAUCACGGCCCUUACGUUCUGGGCUACACACGUGCUACAAUGGUUAGGACAAAGAGUCGCCAACUUGCAAAAGUGAGCUAAUCUCGUAAACCUAAUCUCAGUUCGGAUCG